RNAcentral lists this ribosomal RNA (253 nucleotides) under uncultured bacterium. RNAcentral describes it as "partial 16S ribosomal RNA". It matches the Rfam family "Bacterial small subunit ribosomal RNA", at positions 524 to 776 of the family's 1533-position model. The record is from RNAcentral.
GACGAGGGAUCCUAGCGUUGCUCGGAAUUAUUGGGCGUAAAGCGGGUGUAGGUGGCUUGGUAAGUCAGAUGUGAAAGCCCUGGGCUUAACCCAGGAAGUGCAUUUGAUACUGCUGAGCUUGAGUGCGAGAGAGGUUAAUAGAAUACCUGGUGUAGUGGUGAAAUUCGUAGAUAUCGGGAGGAACACCGGUGGCGAAGGCGGCGACCUGGGUCGAUACUGACGCUGAGGUGCGAAAGCGUGGGGAGCAAACAGG